AUGGGCUAAGGGUUUACCUUUCCCCA
RNAcentral lists this non-coding RNA (26 nucleotides) under Rattus norvegicus (Norway rat). The record is from RNAcentral. Lineage: Eukaryota; Metazoa; Chordata; Mammalia; Rodentia; Muridae.